Molecule: ribosomal RNA, 255 nt
Filed under: uncultured bacterium
Lineage: Bacteria
Description: partial 16S ribosomal RNA
Rfam family: Bacterial small subunit ribosomal RNA
Source: RNAcentral
UACGUAGGGGGCAAGCGUUGUCCGGAUUUAUUGGGCGUAAAGAGCGUGUAGGCGGCCAAGCAGGUCCGCUGUGAAAACUCGAGGCUCAACCUCGAGACGUCGGUGGAAACCGUUUGGCUAGAGUCCGGAAGAGGAGAGUGGAAUUCCCGGUGUAGCGGUGAAAAUGCGCAGAUAUCGGGAAGAACACCCGUGGCGAAGGCGGCUCUCUGGGACGGUACUGACGCUGAGACGCGAAAAGCGUGGGGAGCGAACAGG